Molecule: non-coding RNA, 316 nt
Organism: Paramisgurnus dabryanus
Lineage: Eukaryota; Metazoa; Chordata; Actinopteri; Cypriniformes; Cobitidae
Source: RefSeq, a predicted model, not a curated record
UUUCUAUGGCAAAUUCUAAGGUCAUUUUCUUGUUGUGUUUUGAUGUUUUCCAUUGGCUGAAGAAUGCCCAAUCUGUACCACUCAAAAAGUAAUGAAGUGACAGUGUACCAUGACAAAAAAUAUGAGCCUGAAGAGGAGAUUUGGGAAGAUGCUGUUUAUAAGUCUUUGCUUUGCCAGAUCACCUGUGGUCGAGAUGUCUGCUAACAAGAUGCCUUGUUGGUCUGGGCGAGUUUUAAGUCUCUCACAGACAGUCCAGAAGGUCUGGAGUCCAUCUUAGCUUUUAUUGGUAAGGGACUGCACAAAAGGCUGUUUGACC